UACGUAGGUGACAAGCGUUGUCCGGAUUUACUGGGCGUAAAGAGCGCGCAGGCGGUCGUUCAAGUCGAGUGUGAAAGCCCCCGGCUCAACUGGGGAGGGUCACUCGAUACUGAUCGACUCGAAGGCAGGAGAGGGAAGUGGAAUUCCCGGUGUAGUGGUGAAAUGCGUAGAUAUCGGGAGGAACACCGGUGGCGAAGGCGGCAUCCUGGACCGACACUGACGCUGAGGAGCGAAAGCCAGGGGAGCAAACGGG
This 253-nucleotide ribosomal RNA is filed under the name uncultured bacterium. RNAcentral's name for it is "partial 16S ribosomal RNA". It matches the Rfam family "Bacterial small subunit ribosomal RNA", at positions 524 to 776 of the family's 1533-position model. The record is from RNAcentral.